Molecule: ribosomal RNA, 118 nt
Filed under: Lepisosteus oculatus (spotted gar)
Lineage: Eukaryota; Metazoa; Chordata; Actinopteri; Semionotiformes; Lepisosteidae
Source: RNAcentral
GCCAGGAGCAAUAUCACCCUGAAACUCACAACUGGCAGUCCACUGAACCUAACCAGGUGUGAGCCUGGUCAGUACCUGGAUGGGGGACCUCCUGGGAAAGCUAAGGUUGCUGCUGGAA